RNAcentral lists this ribosomal RNA (497 nucleotides) under uncultured bacterium. Its description in RNAcentral is "partial 16S ribosomal RNA". It matches the Rfam family "Bacterial small subunit ribosomal RNA", at positions 28 to 507 of the family's 1533-position model. The record is from RNAcentral.
GAUGAACGCUGGCGGCGUGCCUAACACAUGCAAGUCGAGCGAACGGACGAGACGCUUGCUUUUCUGAUGUUAGCGGCGGACGGGUGAGUAACACGUGUAUACCCUACCUAUAAGACUGGGAUAACUUCGGGAAACCGGAGCUAACACCGGAUAAUAUUUUGAACCGCAUGGUUCAUAAGAGAAAGACGGUCUUGCUGUCACUUAUAGAUGGAUCCGCGCUGCAUUAGCUAGUUGGUAGGGUAACGGCUUACCAAGGCAACGAUGCAUAGCCGACCUGAGAGGGUGAUCAGCCACACUGGAACUGAGACACGGUCCAGACUCCUACGGGAGGCAGCAGUGGGGAAUCUUCCGCAAUGGGCGAAAGCCUGACGCAGCAACGCCGCGUGAGUGAUGAAGGUCUUCGGAUCGUAAAGCUCUUUUAGUAGGGAAGAACAUAUGUGUAAGUAAAUGUGCACAUCUUGACGGUACCUAAUCAGAAAGCCACGGCUAACUACGUG